AAAUUGAAGAGUUUGAUCAUGGCUCAGAUUGAACGCUGGCGGCAGGCCUAACACAUGCAAGUCGAACGGUAGCACAGAGAGCUUGCUCUCGGGUGACGAGUGGCGGACGGGUGAGUAAUGUCUGGGAAACUGCCUGAUGGAGGGGGAUAACUACUGGAAACGGUGGCUAAUACCGCAUAACGUCGCAAGACCAAAGAG
Molecule: ribosomal RNA, 198 nt
Filed under: Salmonella enterica subsp. enterica serovar Infantis
Lineage: Bacteria; Pseudomonadati; Pseudomonadota; Gammaproteobacteria; Enterobacterales; Enterobacteriaceae
Also listed under: 5 other names
Description: partial 16S ribosomal RNA
Rfam family: Bacterial small subunit ribosomal RNA
Source: RNAcentral